Molecule: ribosomal RNA, 497 nt
Filed under: uncultured bacterium
Lineage: Bacteria
Description: partial 16S ribosomal RNA
Rfam family: Bacterial small subunit ribosomal RNA
Source: RNAcentral
GAUGAACGCUGGCGGCGUGCCUAAUACAUGCAAGUCGAGCGAACAGACGAGGAGCUUGCUCCUCUGACGUUAGCGGCGGACGGGUGAGUAACACGUGGAUAACCUACCUAUAAGACUGGGAUAACUUCGGGAAACCGGAGCUAAUACCGGAUAAUAUAUUGAACCGCAUGGUUCAAUAGUGAAAGACGGUUUUGCUGUCACUUAUCGAUGGAUCCGCGCCGCAUUAGCUAGUUGGUAAGGUAACGGCUUACCAAGGCGACGAUGCGUAGCCGACCUGAGAGGGUGAUCGGCCACACUGGAACUGAGACACGGUCCAGACUCCUACGGGAGGCAGCAGUAGGGAAUCUUCCGCAAUGGGCGAAAGCAUGACGGAGCAACGCCGCGUGAGUGAUGAAGGUCUUCGGAUCGUAAAACUCUGUUAUUAGGGAAGAACAAAUGUGUAAGUAACUAUGCACGUCUUGACGGUAACUAAUCAGAAAGCCACGGCUAACUACGUG